This 492-nucleotide ribosomal RNA is filed under the name uncultured bacterium. RNAcentral's name for it is "partial 16S ribosomal RNA". It matches the Rfam family "Bacterial small subunit ribosomal RNA", at positions 29 to 507 of the family's 1533-position model. The record is from RNAcentral.
AGUGAACGCUGGCGGUAGGCCUAACACAUGCAAGUCGAACGGCAGCACAGUAAGAGCUUGCUCUUACGGGUGGCGAGUGGCGGAAGGGUGAGGAAUACAUCGGAAUCUACUUUUUCGUGGGGGCUAACGUAGGGAAACUUACGCUAAUACCGCAUACGACCUCCGGGUGAAAGCAGGGGAUCUUCGGACCUUGCGCGAUUGAAUGAGCCGAUGUCGGAUUAGCUAGUUGGCGGGGUAAAGGCCCACAAAGGCGACGAUCCGUAGCUGGUCUGAGAGGAUGAACAGCCACACUGGAACUGAGACACGGUCCAGACUCCUACGGGAGGCAGCAGUGGGGAAUAUUGGACGAUGGGCGCAAGCCUGAUCCAGCCAUACCGCGUGGGUGAAGAAGGCCUUCGGGUGGUAAAGCCCUUUUGUUGGGAAAGAAAAGCAGCAGGUUAAUACCCCGCUGUUCUGACGGUACCCAAAGAAUAAGCACCGGCUAACUUCGUG